Molecule: long non-coding RNA, 1000 nt
Organism: Cotesia glomerata
Lineage: Eukaryota; Metazoa; Arthropoda; Insecta; Hymenoptera; Braconidae
Exons: 3
Source: RefSeq, a predicted model, not a curated record
AAACGGUCGAGCGGUUGAAGUAUUUAUUUAUUUAUCUAGAUCCUGGAGUUAACUCCUUGGGACCAUAUUUCUUUUACAUUUAUUACAAGAUAAAGAAGUUAUCUCAAAUGGCAGCGAACUCCAAAAAUUACAACCUGCUACACCUGCUACAACAAAUGAUCGCUGAUAUGUAGUGGUUCUAGCAAAUGGUCAUUUAAGAGUAUUUGUUUUUCCUACAUCACGCCGCGAAGCAAUAUUUAACCUAAGAUCAAGCUGAUCACCAAACAACCCCGGCCGCAUGAGACACAAUGCUUUAUAAAACUCACAAGCUAUCAACAGAAGCCUACGGUUCUGAACCGUAAGCCACCCAAGCCGCCUCCGAUAUUGUGAUAUAUGUUCUCGGCGCCUGAUCCGAAGUAUAUAUCUCACACAAUUAUUAAGUGAUACUUGUAACGAUCUUUCAAGUUCUACUGACAGAUUCGUCAGAACACACGCACAAUAAUCAUAGAUAGGCAGUAAGUACCAAGUAUUCAUCUCGUAUGAUGAACAAUCCUCUUAAAUAAAUAGUUUAUUAAUUAAAAAAUACCUAGCUACGGAAUUCGGUUACAAUAAUUGUAUAAAUAAUCGCAAAGAUGUCAAUGUCGUUAAUAAUCAUUGACUGAAAAAUGUUAUACUGUAUAAUGUUAUACUGAAAAAUUUUGAAAUUUCAUUUUAUUCAAUGUAUACAUAUAUAUAACGAGUGUAACGAACACUUAAAGAUUAAAAGUAAAUCUUUGAUAAUAGUUUUGAAGAAAUUUCCAUUUUGUUGUUUUUUAAUAAAUAUCUACGGAAUUAAUUAUUUCAAAAAAGCCGUGAGCUAAGUUAAUGGCGCCGAUGGACGAAGGAAGAAUAUAAGAUUGUCAUCCAGGAUCGAGCCGCUAAUCAUUGCUGAAAUCUUGUGGAAUAUUUUGCUGUAACUUUCAAAUUAUUUUUUCCGAGUGGAUUCAAAAGCUGAAGAGGAAAUUGAAAAAUCGAGGUGCCA